UAGACGCACCAGAUUUAGGUUCUGGCGCCGCAAGGUGUGCGAGUUCAAGUCUCGCCUCCCGCACCAUUUCAUUAUUCGGCAGCGU
RNAcentral lists this transfer RNA (85 nucleotides) under Pantoea sp. Sc1. Its description in RNAcentral is "tRNA-Leu". Lineage: Bacteria; Pseudomonadati; Pseudomonadota; Gammaproteobacteria; Enterobacterales; Erwiniaceae. The record is from RNAcentral.